RNAcentral lists this long non-coding RNA (215 nucleotides) under Trifolium pratense (red clover). Its description in RNAcentral is "long non-coding RNA (TPRA_LNC010016)". The record is from RNAcentral. Lineage: Eukaryota; Viridiplantae; Streptophyta; Magnoliopsida; Fabales; Fabaceae.
CGCCGAAGAGCUGUAGCUCAACUUAUGUGUGCAAUUGUUUAUUAUUAUGUUCGGAUGUCUCGUAAGAGAAAAUUAAGUUAUAGUAUGAGCUCUGAGAGAGAAAGGGUGCGUGAAGAAAUAAUGUAUCGAAUUAGUAAUUGUGAAACUAUUACUUUUAAAAAUAUGAGUGUUAUAAGAUUUUAAGGGUAAAAAAGUAAAUUGUUUUUAAAAUACCU